Molecule: long non-coding RNA, 803 nt
Organism: Monopterus albus (swamp eel)
Lineage: Eukaryota; Metazoa; Chordata; Actinopteri; Synbranchiformes; Synbranchidae
Exons: 3
Source: RefSeq, a predicted model, not a curated record
GGAAUGCAGAGCAGACCUCCUGGGUUCAACUGCUGGUCACAUCACAACAGAGGUGCUUCCUGCUGUAGCAGCUUCUGUCCAACAGCAGCCACUGACUGAGUCUGUUACCUUAAAGUCUACUAAUCUGCUCUGAAGACCCCAGAGAUGGCAGUGUCAGUCUGGUGGCUGGUCUGGCUGUUGCGUGAUCUACCACUUAAAUCUAGAUGGAAAUAUCUAAGCGUCUAUUGGAUGGAAUUCCUUGUAGCUUUAUGCAGACAUCUGUAUUUUCCUCAGGAUGGACUGUAAUAAAUCUGGUGAUCCUUUGACUGUCAUCCAUCCAUCCUUCAUGUCAAAUCUGUUCAUUUGGUUUACUACCAAACACCUGCAAAAUGAUGUUACUGUUAAUGUUACAGAUGCUUAUUUUUCUAGGACAAGCUUCUGGCAGUGUGGGGUGACAACCAGACAGUAUCACACCUGAUCAUUGUGGAAGUGAAGCUAAAGCAGGGAGGGAAAGUGUGGAGGAAGCUGCCUGUGUCUACAGAGAUGUGUGUCCAGCCAUCCACUGCACAACACAGUUUCAAAGUUACUGAAACUAUAAGUUAUAUAGAAUGAUUAGAUGGUGAUUUUUUAUAUUAAUGAUGUUUUGACAGACUAACUUGUGAAAGUUUCAAUUUGACAAAUCAAACUGGGGCUGCUUGACAAAUUAUUGUGAAAUGUAGAAGAAUGCAACGAAAUGUGCAACACAGGGCCAGAAGUUUACACCAUCAGAACAUGUUGAGAAUGUUCUUAAUGUAUGUUGAAAUAAAUAUUUUCAUAAAGAUUGA